Pogoniulus pusillus (Red-fronted tinkerbird) is the source of this 665-nucleotide long non-coding RNA. RefSeq lists it as uncharacterized. The record is from RefSeq and is a predicted model, not a curated record. Lineage: Eukaryota; Metazoa; Chordata; Aves; Piciformes; Lybiidae. The transcript is spliced from 3 exons.
UGCCAGCGUCACCAUCCUGUUUUCUGGUACUCUGUUUAACCAUGUGGCCCUAACCCACGAGGUGGACAAAACCAUCGCCAUCAAAUCUGGUUGUGUUAGUGUCUCUCCUGCUCCAGCUGAUGCUCCGGGUUUCACUUUAUUAGUCACGAAGCACAUUCCUUGUAUGCAGUGAGAGAAGACAGAAAGAUGGAAAGUAGUUGCACACAGGCACUUCACUGGGACUUUCACCAUGAAGAGAGCUUUAAUGAUUUCAGGAGCUGAGAGAUAAUGAGAAUGGACUGAGGAAAUAAUGUAUUUGAGGCAGAUGAUGAUCUCCUGCUGCCACGUAACAGCCAAAGCACUUAUUGUCAGAGUAGGAGCCACUGAUUCUCCGGUAGUGCACUGUUAUGAUAUUAUUACAAAUGACUGAGAUGAUUCCAUCUGAUAAGUAUGGGUAUACCAGUAACAGUUACCCUGUGUCUUAUCUCUUUUUUUCAUUCUGUUCAUUCUCAAAAAUACUGUGCUUUUCCCCCCCUGUAACAGUAUUGGUUCCCCACAAACAAAUUUGACCUUAAAAUCUGCAUGUAUUGGGUAUCUCUCUUGUCAGUCUUGAAGGUGGCCCAAGAAUAUGGUUAUUUGUGCACAGUGACUGUAUAAACCAAAAAAUAAAUACUGGGUAAAAAUGC